AACGAACGCUGGCGGCAGGCUUAACACAUGCAAGUCGAGCGGGGACUUCGGUCCUAGCGGCGAACGGGUGAGGAAUGCUUGGGAAUCUGCCCAGUAGCGGGGGAUAACGUUUCGAAAGGAACGCUAAUACCGCAUACGCCCUACGGGGGAAAGGGGGGGAUCUUCGGACCUCUCACUAUUGGAUGAGCCCAAGUCGGAUUAGCUAGUUGGUGGGGUAAAGGCCUACCAAGGCGACGAUCCGUAGCUGGUCUGAGAGGAUGAUCAGCCACACUGGAACUGAGACACGGUCCAGACUCCUACGGGAGGCAGCAGUGGGGAAUAUUGGACAAUGGGCGAAAGCCUGAUCCAGCCAUGCCGCGUGUGUGAAGAAGGCCUUCGGGCUGUAAAGCACUUUAAGCGAGGAGGAAUGGCUCUUGGUUAAUAACCUUGAGCAGUGACGUUACUCGCAGAAUAAGCACCGGCUAACUACGUGCCAGCAGCCGCGGUAA
This 488-nucleotide ribosomal RNA is filed under the name uncultured bacterium. RNAcentral's name for it is "partial 16S ribosomal RNA". It matches the Rfam family "Bacterial small subunit ribosomal RNA", at positions 29 to 523 of the family's 1533-position model. The record is from RNAcentral.